This 83-nucleotide transfer RNA is filed under the name Agitococcus sp. RNAcentral describes it as "tRNA-Leu". It matches the Rfam family "tRNA". From Rfam's summary of the family: Transfer RNA (tRNA) molecules are approximately 80 nucleotides in length. RNAcentral also lists the same sequence under 3 other names. Lineage: Bacteria; Pseudomonadati; Pseudomonadota; Gammaproteobacteria; Moraxellales; Moraxellaceae. The record is from RNAcentral.
GCGCCAGUGGCGAAAUUGGUAGACGCGCUGGAUUUAGGUUCCAGUCCGAAAGGGUGCGGGUUCGAGUCCCUCCUGGCGCACCA